This 1431-nucleotide ribosomal RNA is filed under the name uncultured organism. Its description in RNAcentral is "16S ribosomal RNA". It matches the Rfam family "Bacterial small subunit ribosomal RNA". The record is from RNAcentral.
AUGAACGCUAGCUACAGGCUUAACACAUGCAAGUCGAGGGGUAGCACGGUCUUAGCUUGCUAAGACUGAUGGCGACCGGCGCACGGGUGAGUAACACGUAUCCAACCUGCCGUCUACUCUUGGACAGCCUUCUGAAAGGAAGAUUAAUACAAGAUGGCAUCAUGAGUCCGCAUGUUCACAUGAUUAAAGGUAUUCCGGUAGACGAUGGGGAUGCGUUCCAUUAGAUAGUAGGCGGGGUAACGGCCCACCUAGUCUUCGAUGGAUAGGGGUUCUGAGAGGAAGGUCCCCCACAUUGGAACUGAGACACGGUCCAAACUCCUACGGGAGGCAGCAGUGAGGAAUAUUGGUCAAUGGGCGAGAGCCUGAACCAGCCAAGUAGCGUGAAGGAUGACUGCCCUAUGGGUUGUAAACUUCUUUUAUAAAGGAAUAAAGUCGGGUAUGCAUACCCGUUUGCAUGUACUUUAUGAAUAAGGAUCGGCUAACUCCGUGCCAGCAGCCGCGGUAAUACGGAGGAUCCGAGCGUUAUCCGGAUUUAUUGGGUUUAAAGGGAGCGUAGAUGGAUGUUUAAGUCAGUUGUGAAAGUUUGCGGCUCAACCGUAAAAUUGCAGUUGAUACUGGAUAUCUUGAGUGCAGUUGAGGCAGGCGGAAUUCGUGGUGUAGCGGUGAAAUGCUUAGAUAUCACGAAGAACUCCGAUUGCGAAGGCAGCCUGCUAAGCUGCAACUGACAUUGAGGCUCGAAAGUGUGGGUAUCAAACAGGAUUAGAUACCCUGGUAGUCCACACGGUAAACGAUGAAUACUCGCUGUUUGCGAUAUACUGCAAGCGGCCAAGCGAAAGCGUUAAGUAUUCCACCUGGGGAGUACGCCGGCAACGGUGAAACUCAAAGGAAUUGACGGGGGCCCGCACAAGCGGAGGAACAUGUGGUUUAAUUCGAUGAUACGCGAGGAACCUUACCCGGGCUUAAAUUGCAGAUGAAUUACGGUGAAAGCCGUAAGCCGCAAGGCAUCUGUGAAGGUGCUGCAUGGUUGUCGUCAGCUCGUGCCGUGAGGUGUCGGCUUAAGUGCCAUAACGAGCGCAACCCUUGUUGUCAGUUACUAACAGGUUCCGCUGAGGACUCUGACAAGACUGCCAUCGUAAGAUGUGAGGAAGGUGGGGAUGACGUCAAAUCAGCACGGCCCUUACGUCCGGGGCUACACACGUGUUACAAGGGGGGGUACAGAGGGCCGCUACCACGCGAGUGGAUGCCAAUCCCCAAAACCUCUCUCAGUUCGGACUGGAGUCUGCAACCCGACUCCACGAAGCUGGAUUCGCUAGUAAUCGCGCAUCAGCCACGGCGCGGUGAAUACGUUCCCGGGCCUUGUACACACCGCCCGUCAAGCCAUGGGAGCCGGGGGUACCUGAAGUGCGUAACCGCGAGGAGCGCCCUAGGGUA